CGAAGGGUGCAAGCGUUACUCGGAAUUACUGGGCGUAAAGCGUGCGUAGGUGGUUCGUUAAGUCUGAUGUGAAAGCCCUGGGCUCAACCUGGGAAUGGCAUUGGAAACUGGCGACCUAGAGUGCGGUAGAGGGUAGUGGAAUUCCCGGUGUAGCAGUGAAAUGCGUAGAGAUCGGGAGGAACAUCCGUGGCGAAGGCGACUACCUGGACCAGCACUGACACUGAGGCACGAAAGCGUGGGGAGCAAACAGGAUUAGAUACCCUGGUAGUCCACGCCCUAAACGAUGCGAACUGGAUGUUGGGUGCAACUAGGCACUCAGUAUCGAAGCUAACGCGUUAAGUUCGCCGCCUGGGGAGUACGGUCGCAAGACUG
RNAcentral lists this ribosomal RNA (372 nucleotides) under uncultured organism. RNAcentral's name for it is "bacterial SSU rRNA". It matches the Rfam family "Bacterial small subunit ribosomal RNA", at positions 526 to 896 of the family's 1533-position model. The record is from RNAcentral.